UGUAGCUCAGUGGUAGAGCACUUGCCUCACAGGCAUGAAGCCCUGGGUUUAAUCCUCAGUA
This 61-nucleotide transfer RNA is filed under the name Ictidomys tridecemlineatus (thirteen-lined ground squirrel). RNAcentral's name for it is "Spermophilus tridecemlineatus (thirteen-lined ground squirrel) tRNA". It matches the Rfam family "tRNA", at positions 6 to 65 of the family's 71-position model. From Rfam's summary of the family: Transfer RNA (tRNA) molecules are approximately 80 nucleotides in length. The record is from Rfam by way of RNAcentral. Lineage: Eukaryota; Metazoa; Chordata; Mammalia; Rodentia; Sciuridae.